UACGGAGGGGGCAAGCGUUAUUCGGAAUUAUUGGGCGUAAAGGGCGCGUAGGCGGCUAGAUGUGUCAAAGGUGAAAUCCCUCGGCUCAACUGAGGAACUGCCUUUGAAACUGUCUGGCUUGAGGCCGGGAGAGGGUAGCGGAAUUCCCAGUGUAGCGGUGAAAUGCGCAGAUAUCAGGAGGAACACCGGUGGCGAAGGCGGGUCUCUGGGCCGUAACUGACGCUGAGGAGCGAAAGCAUGGGGAGCGAACAGG
This 253-nucleotide ribosomal RNA is filed under the name uncultured bacterium. RNAcentral's name for it is "partial 16S ribosomal RNA". It matches the Rfam family "Bacterial small subunit ribosomal RNA", at positions 524 to 776 of the family's 1533-position model. The record is from RNAcentral.